CGGCAGUGCGCUGAUCGUGGCAGCGGUGUCAGUGGUGAUGCAACAGUGGACGUGGCACAGUGAUGGCAAUGAUAGUGGUUGUUGAGGUGGUGUGCCAGUGGUGGUGAAGGUGGUGGGGUAGAGGUGACUAGGCGGUGGUGGUCUUGUAGUAGUGGUGCUUUUGCACUGGUGGUGGUGGUGGUAGCAGUGGCGGUGGUGCAGUGGUGACAGUGGCGGUUGUGCACUCGUAGUGGUGGUGGAGGUGGU
This 246-nucleotide long non-coding RNA is filed under the name Amborella trichopoda. RNAcentral describes it as "long non-coding RNA (ATRI_LNC004120)". Lineage: Eukaryota; Viridiplantae; Streptophyta; Magnoliopsida; Amborellales; Amborellaceae. The record is from RNAcentral.